Molecule: ribosomal RNA, 484 nt
Filed under: uncultured bacterium
Lineage: Bacteria
Description: partial 16S ribosomal RNA
Rfam family: Bacterial small subunit ribosomal RNA
Source: RNAcentral
AUUGAACGCUGGCGGCAGGCCUAACACAUGCAAGUCGAGCGGAUGAAGGGAGCUUGCUCCUGGAUUCAGCGGCGGACGGGCGAGUAAUGCCUAGGAAUCUGCCUGGUAGUGGGGGAUAACGUCCGGAAACGGGCGCUAAUACCGCAUACGUCCUGAGGGAGAAAGUGGGGGAUCUUCGGACCUCACGCUAUCAGAUGAGCCUAGGUCGGAUUAGCUAGUUGGUGGGGUAAAGGCCUACCAAGGCGACGAUCCGUAACUGGUCUGAGAGGAUGAUCAGUCACACUGGAACUUAGACACGGUCCAGACUCCUACGGGAGGCAGCAGUGGGGAAUAUUGGACAAUGGUCGAAAGCCUGAUCCAGCCAUGCCGCGUGUGUGAAGAAGGUCUUCGGAUUGUAAAGCACUUUAAGUUGGGAUGAAGGGCAGUAAGUUAAUACCUUGCUGUUUUGACGUUACCAACAGAAUAAGCACCGGCUAACUUCGUG